Molecule: ribosomal RNA, 682 nt
Filed under: uncultured bacterium
Lineage: Bacteria
Description: bacterial SSU rRNA
Rfam family: Bacterial small subunit ribosomal RNA
Source: RNAcentral
GAAAAAUGUGCUAAUACCGCGUAAGACCACAGCUUCACAUGGAGCAGGGGUCAAAGGAGCAAUCCGGAUAAAGAUGGGCUCGCGUCCGAUUAGCUAGUUGGUGAGAUAACAGCCCACCAAGGCUACGAUCGGUAGCCGACCUGAGAGGGUGAUCGGCCACAUUGGAACUGAGAAACGGUCCAGACUCCUACGGGAGGCAGCAGUGGGGAAUAUUGGGCAAUGGGCGAAAGCCUGACCCAGCAACGCCGCGUGAGGGAAGAAGGGUUCCGGCUCGUAAACCUCUGUCCUAUGGGACGAAGGAAGUGACGGUACCAUAGGAGGAAGCCCCGGCUAACUACGUGCCAGCAGCCGCGGUAAUACGUAGGGGGCGAGCGUUGUCCGGAAUGAUUGGGCGUAAAGGGCGCGUAGGCGGCCUGCUAAGUCUGGAGUGAAAGUCCUGCUUUCAAGGUGGGAAUUGCUUUGGAUACUGGUGGGCUGGAGUGCAGGAGAGGAAAGCGGAAUUACCGGUGUAGCGGUGAAAUGCGUAGAGAUCGGUAGGAACACCAGUGGCGAAGGCGGCUUUCUGGACUGAAACUGACGCUGAGGCGCGAAAGCGUGGGGAGCAAACAGGAUUAGAUACCCUGGUAGUCCACGCGGUAAACGAUGAAUGCUAGGUGUAGGAGGUAUCGACCCCUUCUGUGCC